This 404-nucleotide ribosomal RNA is filed under the name uncultured bacterium. RNAcentral describes it as "bacterial SSU rRNA". It matches the Rfam family "Bacterial small subunit ribosomal RNA", at positions 917 to 1344 of the family's 1533-position model. The record is from RNAcentral.
GGGCCCGCACAAGCGGUGGAGUAUGUGGUUUAAUUCGAUGCAACGCGAAGAACCUUACCAGGGUUUGACAUCCUGCGAACCUCUUGGAAACAGGAGGGUGCCUUCGGGAACGCAGUGACAGGUGGUGCAUGGCUGUCGUCAGCUCGUGUCGUGAGAUGUUGGGUUAAGUCCCGCAACGAGCGCAACCCACGUCUUUAGUUGCCAGCAUUUAGUUGGGCACUCUAGAGAGACCGCCGGUGAUAAACCGGAGGAAGGCGGGGAUGACGUCAAGUCCUCAUGGCCCUUACACGCGGGGCUACACACGUGCUACAAUGGCAGUGACAAUGGGAUAAUCCCAAAAAGCUGUCUCAGUUCAGAUUGUCCUCUGCAACUCGAGGGCAUGAAGUUGGAAUCGCUAGUAAUCG